UUGUGUGAAUUGCAGAAUCCCGCUGAACCAUCGAGUUUUUGAACGCAAGUUGCGCCCAAAGCCACUAGGCUGAGGGCACGCCUGCCUGGGCGUCACGCACAGCGUCGCGCUCAACACAAGCAAUGUUUUCGUGUUGAUGAGCGGAAGUUGGCCACCCGAGCUAUCUCAGCUCGGUAGGCCUAAAUGAUGGCCUCGAGCGAUGGGCAUCACGAUCUAUGGUGGUUUAGAACCCCUGUCGUCGUAGACCGGCGUCGUGUUUGCCUUGUUGAAUGCUCGAGCUGUACAAACCCUUGUGUGUUGCAUCUAACACUCACCUUGCGACCCCAGGUCAGGCGGGACUACCCGCUGAGUUUAAGCAUAUCAAUAAGCGGAGGAGAAGAAACUUACAAGGAUUCCCCUAGUAACGGCGAGCGAACCGGGAUCAGCCCAGCUUGAGAAUCGGCGCUUGGCUUUGUCGUCCGAAUUGUAGUCUG
This 473-nucleotide ribosomal RNA is filed under the name Berberis kaschgarica. RNAcentral describes it as "eukaryotic LSU rRNA". The stretch from base 319 to 473 matches the Rfam family "Eukaryotic large subunit ribosomal RNA", at positions 1 to 152 of the family's 3401-position model. The record is from RNAcentral. Lineage: Eukaryota; Viridiplantae; Streptophyta; Magnoliopsida; Ranunculales; Berberidaceae.